Molecule: unclassified non-coding RNA, 330 nt
Filed under: soil metagenome
Description: partial contains 5.8S ribosomal RNA, internal transcribed spacer 2, and large subunit ribosomal RNA
Rfam family: 5.8S ribosomal RNA (bases 1-120)
Source: RNAcentral
GAUGAAGAACGCAGCGAAAUGCGAUAAGUAAUGUGAAUUGCAGAAUUCAGUGAAUCAUCGAAUCUUUGAACGCACAUUGCGCCCCCUGGUAUUCCGGGGGGCAUGCCUGUUCGAGCGUCAUUUCACCACUCAAGCCUCGCUUGGUAUUGGGCAACGCGGUCCGCCGCGUGCCUCAAAUCGACCGGCUGGGUCUUCUGUCCCCUAAGCGUUGUGGAAACUAUUCGCUAAAGGGUGCUCGGGAGGCUACGCCGUAAAACAAACCCAUUUCUAAGGUUGACCUCGGAUCAGGUAGGGAUACCCGCUGAACUUAAGCAUAUCAUAAGCGGAGGA